Molecule: ribosomal RNA, 346 nt
Filed under: uncultured bacterium gp1
Lineage: Bacteria
Description: bacterial SSU rRNA
Rfam family: Bacterial small subunit ribosomal RNA
Source: RNAcentral
GUGAGUAACACGUGACUAACCUACCCUCGAGUGGGGAAUAACCUCGGGAAACCGGGGCUAACACCGCAUAACAUCUACGGAUCAAAUGCGUAAGCAGCUUGAGGAGGGGGUCGCGGCUGAUUAGCUAGUUGGCGGGGUAAUGGCCCACCAAGGCAAUGAUCAGUAGCCGGCCUGAGAGGGCGCACGGCCACACUGGAACUGAAACACGGUCCAGACUCCUACGGGAGGCAGCAGUGGGGAAUUUUGCGCAAUGGGGGAAACCCUGACGCAGCAACGCCGCGUGGAGGAUGAAGCCCCUUGGGGUGUAAACUCCUUUCGAUCGGGACGAUGAUGACGGUACCGGAUG